This is a non-coding RNA of Syntrophobacterales bacterium GWC2_56_13, 216 nucleotides long. The record is from Rfam. NCBI's taxonomy places the organism in Bacteria, Pseudomonadati, Thermodesulfobacteriota, Syntrophobacteria, Syntrophobacterales.
CCAGUCUCCCCCGGCAAAGCUGGCCGGCAGCCGGAACCGAGUCUUGCGUGGUGCGGGAGUAACCCCGGCUGCGAAACGUAGACAGGGAGCACGCAGGCCGCGUGAUAGAGCCUCGAAAUAAGACAAAUGUGGAAGCCGACGCCGUCUAAUUAGCGGAAGGCAGUAUCCGGGAGUCGGAAUGGCCUGACUUCAGGGUUCCACCGGGGUCGAAGAGCG